UACGGGGGGGGGAAGCGUUGUUCGGAAUUACUGGGCGUAAAGGGCUCGUAGGCGGCCAACUAAGUCGGACGUGAAAUCCCUCAGCUUAACUGGGGAACUGCGUCCGAUACUGGAUGGCUUGGAUUUGGGAGAGGGAUGCGGAAUUCCAGGUGUAGCGGUGAAAUGCGUAGAUAUCUGGAGGAACACCGGUGGCGAAGGCGGCAUCCUGGACCAACACUGACGCUGAGGAGCGAAAGCCAGGGGAGCAAACGGG
Molecule: ribosomal RNA, 253 nt
Filed under: uncultured bacterium
Lineage: Bacteria
Description: partial 16S ribosomal RNA
Rfam family: Bacterial small subunit ribosomal RNA
Source: RNAcentral